Molecule: ribosomal RNA, 2277 nt
Filed under: Campylobacter jejuni
Lineage: Bacteria; Pseudomonadati; Campylobacterota; Epsilonproteobacteria; Campylobacterales; Campylobacteraceae
Description: partial 23S ribosomal RNA
Rfam family: Bacterial large subunit ribosomal RNA
Source: RNAcentral
CGAAGCCGUAGCGAAAGCGAGUCUGAAUAGGGCGCUUAGUCAGAUGCUGCAGACCCGAAACGAAGUGAUCUAUCCAUGAGCAAGUUGAAGCUAGUGUAAGAACUAGUGGAGGACUGAACCCAUAGGCGUUGAAAAGCCCCGGGAUGACUUGUGGAUAGGGGUGAAAGGCCAAUCAAACUUCGUGAUAGCUGGUUCUCUCCGAAAUAUAUUUAGGUAUAGCGUUGUGUCGUAAUAUAAGGGGGUAGAGCACUGAAUGGGCUAGGGCAUACACCAAUGUACCAAACCCUAUCAAACUCCGAAUACCUUAUAUGUAAUCACAGCAGUCAGGCGGCGAGUGAUAAAAUCCGUCGUCAAGAGGGAAACAACCCAGACUACCAGCUAAGGUCCCUAAAUCUUACUUAAGUGGAAAACGAUGUGAAGUUACUUAAACAACCAGGAGGUUGGCUUAGAAGCAGCCAUCCUUUAAAGAAAGCGUAAUAGCUCACUGGUCUAGUGAUUUUGCGCGGAAAAUAUAACGGGGCUAAAGUAAGUACCGAAGCUGUAGACUUAGUUUACUAAGUGGUAGGAGAGCGUUCUAUUUGCGUCGAAGGUAUACCGGUAAGGAGUGCUGGAGCGAAUAGAAGUGAGCAUGCAGGCAUGAGUAGCGAUAAUUAAUGUGAGAAUCAUUAACGCCGUAAACCCAAGGUUUCCUACGCGAUGCUCGUCAUCGUAGGGUUAGUCGGGUCCUAAGUCGAGUCCGAAAGGGGUAGACGAUGGCAAAUUGGUUAAUAUUCCAAUACCAACAUUAGUGUGCGAUGGAAGGACGCUUAGGGCUAAGGGGGCUAGCGGAUGGAAGUGCUAGUCUAAGGUCGUAGGAGGUUAUACAGGCAAAUCCGUAUAACAAUACUCCGAGAACUGAAAGGCUUUUUGAAGUCUUCGGAUGGAUAGAAGAACCCCUGAUGCCGUCGAGCCAAGAAAAGUUUCUAAGUUUAGCUAAUGUUGCCCGUACCGUAAACCGACACAGGUGGGUGGGAUGAGUAUUCUAAGGCGCGUGGAAGAACUCUCUUUAAGGAACUCUGCAAAAUAGCACCGUAUCUUCGGUAUAAGGUGUGGUUAGCUUUGUAUUAGGAUUUACUCCGAAAGCAAGGAAACUUACAACAAAGAGUCCCUCCCGACUGUUUACCAAAAACACAGCACUCUGCUAACUCGUAAGAGGAUGUAUAGGGUGUGACGCCUGCCCGGUGCUCGAAGGUUAAUUGAUGGGGUUAGCAUUAGCGAAGCUCUUGAUCGAAGCCCGAGUAAACGGCGGCCGUAACUAUAACGGUCCUAAGGUAGCGAAAUUCCUUGUCGGUUAAAUACCGACCUGCAUGAAUGGCGUAACGAGAUGGGAGCUGUCUCAAAGAGGGAUCCAGUGAAAUUGUAGUGGAGGUGAAAAUUCCUCCUACCCGCGGCAAGACGGAAAGACCCCGUGGACCUUUACUACAGCUUGACACUGCUACUUGGAUAAGAAUGUGCAGGAUAGGUGGGAGGCUUUGAGUAUAUGACGCCAGUUGUAUAUGAGCCAUUGUUGAGAUACCACUCUUUCUUAUUUGGGUAGCUAACCAGCUUGAGUUAUCCUCAAGUGGGACAAUGUCUGGUGGGUAGUUUGACUGGGGCGGUCGCCUCCCAAAUAAUAACGGAGGCUUACAAAGGUUGGCUCAGAACGGUUGGAAAUCGUUCGUAGAGUAUAAAGGUAUAAGCCAGCUUAACUGCAAGACAUACAAGUCAAGCAGAGACGAAAGUCGGUCUUAGUGAUCCGGUGGUUCUGUGUGGAAGGGCCAUCGCUCAAAGGAUAAAAGGUACCCCGGGGAUAACAGGCUGAUCUCCCCCAAGAGCUCACAUCGACGGGGAGGUUUGGCACCUCGAUGUCGGCUCAUCGCAUCCUGGGGCUGGAGCAGGUCCCAAGGGUAUGGCUGUUCGCCAUUUAAAGCGGUACGCGAGCUGGGUUCAGAACGUCGUGAGACAGUUCGGUCCCUAUCUGCCGUGGGCGUAAGAAGAUUGAAGAGAUUUGACCCUAGUACGAGAGGACCGGGUUGAACAAACCACUGGUGUAGCUGUUGUUCUGCCAAGAGCAUCGCAGCGUAGCUAAGUUUGGAAAGGAUAAACGCUGAAAGCAUCUAAGCGUGAAGCCAACUCUAAGAUGAAUCUUCUCUAAGCUCUCUAGAAGACUACUAGUUUGAUAGGCUGGGUGUGUAAUGGAUGAAAGUCCUUUAGCUGACCAGUACUAAUAGAGCGUUUGGCUUAUCUUUAAUAAAGCAU